GGAGGGAUGCCAGAGUGGUUGAAUGGGGCGGUCUCGAAAACCGUUAUGCGGGCAACUGUAUCAAGGGUUCGAAUCCCUUUCCCUCCG
This 87-nucleotide transfer RNA is filed under the name Lacibacter luteus. It matches the Rfam family "tRNA". From Rfam's summary of the family: Transfer RNA (tRNA) molecules are approximately 80 nucleotides in length. Their secondary structure includes four short double-helical elements and three loops (D, anti-codon, and T loops). Lineage: Bacteria; Pseudomonadati; Bacteroidota; Chitinophagia; Chitinophagales; Chitinophagaceae. The record is from Rfam by way of RNAcentral.